Molecule: ribosomal RNA, 253 nt
Filed under: uncultured bacterium
Lineage: Bacteria
Description: partial 16S ribosomal RNA
Rfam family: Bacterial small subunit ribosomal RNA
Source: RNAcentral
UACGUAGGGGGCAAGCGUUGUCCGGAAUCAUUGGGCGUAAAGAGCGUGUAGGCGGCCCGGUAAGUCCGCUGUGAAAGUCCAGGGCUCAACCCUGGGAUGCCGGUGGAUACUGUCGGGCUCGAGUCCGGAAGAGGAGUGUGGAAUUCCUGGUGUAGCGGUGAAAUGCGCAGAUAUCAGGAGGAACACCGAUGGCGAAGGCAGCUCGCUGGGACGGUACUGACGCUGAGGCGCGAAAGCGUGGGGAGCGAACAGG